CUUGCUGUCACUUAUAGAUGGAUCCGCGCUGCAUUAGCUAGUUGGUAAGGUAACGGCUUACCAAGGCAACGAUGCAUAGCCGACCUGAGAGGGUGAUCGGCCACACUGGAACUGAGACACGGUCCAGACUCCUACGGGAGGCAGCAGUAGGGAAUCUUCCGCAAUGGGCGAAAGCCUGACGGAGCAACGCCGCGUGAGUGAUGAAGGUCUUCGGAUCGUAAAACUCUGUUAUUAGGGAAGAACAUAUGUGUAAGUAACUGUGCACAUCUUGACGGUACCUAAUCAGAAAGCCACGGCUAACUACGUGCCAGCAGCCGCGGUAAUACGUAGGUGGCAAGCGUUAUCCGGAAUUAUUGGGCGUAAAGCGCGCGUAGGCGGUUUUUUAAGUCUGAUGUGAAAGCCCACGGC
RNAcentral lists this ribosomal RNA (408 nucleotides) under Staphylococcus aureus. RNAcentral describes it as "bacterial SSU rRNA". It matches the Rfam family "Bacterial small subunit ribosomal RNA", at positions 208 to 608 of the family's 1533-position model. The record is from RNAcentral. Lineage: Bacteria; Bacillati; Bacillota; Bacilli; Caryophanales; Staphylococcaceae.